CAAAGGUAGGCUACUUCCAAAAGACCCACAAGCCUGUGAAGUUCUCUACCCUAGAAGAUCCCUAGAAUUACCUUAGAAUCCAGUCUACAUUCUUGUGAAUCAUGAGGUCCUUGGCUCUAGGUUUAAUCCUGUGUGUGCUAGUUCCACUGUUCCAUGCUUAUUGCCACAGGAAGCCUAUGACUUUGAAACCAGGCAUGAUUACCCAUUGUCUUGACGAAAAGGAUAAGACAUGGCAUCCUAUUGGUUCCCGCUGGAGGAACAGUGAUUGCAUGGACUGCACUUGUGAUUCAUGCUGCUCGGGGUAUGCGACUCCCACACAUUUUCCUGAUGAUUGCAUGAAGGAGUGGGACCAAAAGGCAUGUGAAUUCAAGGUAGUUAAGAAGAGUGAUCCCUCCAUUUCAUGCCCUAUCUUCGGCGCUGUGGGGAAGUAAAUUGUUUACUUCACUGUGUUCUCAAUAUACAGUGAAAAGAUGCGUGUUAGUGUGCAACUUUCUUUUUCAUUGGUAUAGAUCAUCCUCUGUUAGUCAACACCUCACCUUAGGGUGUCCGUACUUUAUUUACUUAAAGAACAUCAUGAUAGAUGUUGACUGUCAUCUACUGCCGGUAAAAUAUCAAUAAAAAAAAAUGUCUGAG
Coregonus clupeaformis (lake whitefish) is the source of this 633-nucleotide long non-coding RNA. RefSeq lists it as uncharacterized. The record is from RefSeq and is a predicted model, not a curated record. NCBI's taxonomy places the organism in Eukaryota, Metazoa, Chordata, Actinopteri, Salmoniformes, Salmonidae. The transcript is spliced from 4 exons.